GCCAACAUAGUUUUAAACAAAACAUUAGACUGUGACUCUAAAAACAGAAGUUUAACCCUUCUUGUUAGCC
RNAcentral lists this transfer RNA (70 nucleotides) under Heliornis fulica (sungrebe). RNAcentral's name for it is "tRNA-His". It matches the Rfam family "tRNA". From Rfam's summary of the family: Transfer RNA (tRNA) molecules are approximately 80 nucleotides in length. Their secondary structure includes four short double-helical elements and three loops (D, anti-codon, and T loops). Further hydrogen bonds mediate the characteristic L-shaped molecular structure. tRNAs have two regions of fundamental functional importance: the anti-codon, which is responsible for specific mRNA codon recognition, and the 3' end, to which the tRNAs corresponding amino acid is attached (by aminoacyl-tRNA synthetases). tRNAs cope with the degeneracy of the genetic code in two manners: having more than one tRNA (with a specific anti-codon) for a particular amino acid; and 'wobble' base-pairing, i.e. permitting non-standard base-pairing at the 3rd anti-codon position. The record is from RNAcentral. Lineage: Eukaryota; Metazoa; Chordata; Aves; Gruiformes; Heliornithidae.